RNAcentral lists this ribosomal RNA (1950 nucleotides) under human gut metagenome. RNAcentral describes it as "bacterial LSU rRNA". It matches the Rfam family "Bacterial large subunit ribosomal RNA", at positions 1 to 1977 of the family's 2925-position model. The record is from RNAcentral.
UUAAGCGACUAAGCGUACACGGUGGAUGCCCUGGCAGUCAGAGGCGAUGAAGGACGUGCUAAUCUGCGAAAAGCGCCGGCGAGGUGAUAUGAACCUUUGACCCGGCGAUGUCCGAAUGGGGAAACCCAGUGUGAUUCGUCACACUAUCGUUAACUGAAUACAUAGGUUAACGAGGCGAACCGGGGGAACUGAAACAUCUAAGUACCCCGAGGAAAAGAAAUCAACCGAGAUUCCCCCAGUAGCGGCGAGCGAACGGGGAGCAGCCCAGAGUCUGAAUCAGCUUGUGUGUUAGUGGAAGCGUCUGGAAAGUCGCACGGUACAGGGUGACAGUCCCGUACACGAAAAUGCACAGGUUGUGAACUCGAAGAGUAGGGCGGGACACGUGGUAUCCUGUCUGAAUAUGGGGGGACCAUCCUCCAAGGCUAAAUACUCCUGACUGACCGAUAGUGAACCAGUACCGUGAGGGAAAGGCGAAAAGAACCCCGGCGAGGGGAGUGAAAAAGAACCUGAAACCGUGUACGUACAAGCAGUGGGAGCACCUUCGUGGUGUGACUGCGUACCUUUUGUAUAAUGGGUCAGCGACUUAUAUUCUGUAGCAAGGUUAACCGUAUAGGGGAGCCGAAGGGAAACCGAGUCUUAACUGGGCGUUAAGUUGCAGGGUAUAGACCCGAAACCCGGUGAUCUAGCCAUGGGCAGGUUGAAGGUUGGGUAACACUAACUGGAGGACCGAACCGACUAAUGUUGAAAAAUUAGCGGAUGACUUGUGGCUGGGGGUGAAAGGCCAAUCAAACCGGGAGAUAGCUGGUUCUCCCCGAAAGCUAUUUAGGUAGCGCCUCGUGAACUCAUCUUCGGGGGUAGAGCACUGUUUCGGCUAGGGGGUCAUCCCGACUUACCAACCCGAUGCAAACUACGAAUACCGAAGAAUGUUAUCACGGGAGACACACGGCGGGUGCUAACGUCCGUCGUGAAGAGGGAAACAACCCAGACCGCCAGCUAAGGUCCCAAAGUCAUGGUUAAGUGGGAAACGAUGUGGGAAGGCACAGACAGCCAGGAUGUUGGCUUAGAAGCAGCCAUCAUUUAAAGAAAGCGUAAUAGCUCACUGGUCGAGUCGGCCUGCGCGGAAGAUGUAACGGGGCUAAACCAUGCACCGAAGCUGCGGCAGCGACACUAUGUGUUGUUGGGUAGGGGAGCGUUCUGUAAGCCGUUGAAGGUGGCCUGUGAGGGUUGCUGGAGGUAUCAGAAGUGCGAAUGCUGACAUAAGUAACGAUAAAGCGGGUGAAAAGCCCGCUCGCCGGAAGACCAAGGGUUCCUGUCCAACGUUAAUCGGGGCAGGGUGAGUCGACCCCUAAGGCGAGGCCGAAAGGCGUAGUCGAUGGGAAACAGGUUAAUAUUCCUGUACUUGGUGUUACUGCGAAGGGGGGACGGAGAAGGCUAUGUUAGCCGGGCGACGGUUGUCCCGGUUUAAGCAUGUAGGCGGAGGUUCCAGGUAAAUCCGGUACCUUUUUAACGCUGAGGUGUGAUGACGAGGCACUACGGUGCUGAAGUAACAAAUGCCCUGCUUCCAGGAAAAGCCUCUAAGCAUCAGGUAACAUCAAAUCGUACCCCAAACCGACACAGGUGGUCAGGUAGAGAAUACCAAGGCGCUUGAGAGAACUCGGGUGAAGGAACUAGGCAAAAUGGUGCCGUAACUUCGGGAGAAGGCACGCUGAUAUGUAGGUGAAGCCCCUGCGGGUGGAGCUGAAAUCAGUCGAAGAUACCAGCUGGCUGCAACUGUUUAUUAAAAACACAGCACUGUGCAAACACGAAAGUGGACGUAUACGGUGUGACGCCUGCCCGGUGCCGGAAGGUUAAUUGAUGGGGUUAGCGGUAACGCGAAGCUCUUGAUCGAAGCCCCGGUAAACGGCGGCCGUAACUAUAACGGUCCUAAGGUAGCGAAAUUCCUUGUCGGGU